CAGAAUCCACGAGAAAGUGAUACUCCUGGGUAAAAGCACUAACCUCCAAGCUUCCUCUGCCCAAAGGCUCAUGGAUGAAGAAGGGAUUGCAAAAGAAGAGAGAGAAAGACAAGCACGUCACCCGCCGGGCCUGCCAAUGGAACAGUAUCUUUGACAGUUACAAGACAGAGCACGCAUUGUAUCAGGACAGCCGUGACAGGCCAAGUGUGCAUAUUGACAGGACACCAUGGCAGCAUCUGGCAGGUUGUUCCAGACGAAUGCCGCCCCAGCCUUGUCAAUGUGAUGCCGCCAGACACAUUUCACAGACUGGCUCCUCACAGCUCCUCUGAGGGGAAGGUGUCCUGUGCAGAGCCAUCCCAAGCUUUUUGCUAGCUGCUGUUCACAAGAACUGUAUGUGGCAUUGGACACUGACAAGAGGACGUUUGAGUUUUACCCCAAA
This is a long non-coding RNA of Mastomys coucha (southern multimammate mouse), 439 nucleotides long. RefSeq lists it as uncharacterized. The transcript has 2 exons. The record is from RefSeq and is a predicted model, not a curated record. Lineage: Eukaryota; Metazoa; Chordata; Mammalia; Rodentia; Muridae.